CGAGUUCAUCUGAAGCUCCUCGCUCGCCGCUUUCUUAGCAUUAAAGACAUCCACAUUGACGAGCGAUUCUCUAUUCCUCGCCAUGUUAAAUUGGGGCAAAAGCGGGGCAGAGAUGAGUCCAAACGAUCAUCCCUUAAAUUGCGCCGUGUGACUGAAAAGAGUGGGAAUGAGGAAGACCAGUCUGGAUCUUACUGUUUGUCAGAUGCAGGGUUGACUGCUCUCAGCGAGGGCUUUCCAAAACUUGAGAAACUGACCUUGGUCUGGUGCCCAAAUGUUUCGAGUUCGGGUUUAUCGUCCCUUGCUCACCGGUGUAUAUACCUGACAUCUUUGGAUCUACAGGGUUGCUAUGC
Molecule: non-coding RNA, 350 nt
Organism: Carica papaya (papaya)
Lineage: Eukaryota; Viridiplantae; Streptophyta; Magnoliopsida; Brassicales; Caricaceae
Source: RefSeq, a predicted model, not a curated record